GACGAACCGUGCAAACGUUGUUCGGAAUCACUGGGCUUAAAGGGCGCGUAGGCGGGUGGCAAAGUCAGGGGUGAAAUCUUUCGGCUUAACCGGAAAAUAGCCUUUGAUACUGGCCGUCUUGAGCGAGGUAGGGGCAUGUGGAACUUCCGGUGGAGCGGUGAAAUGCGUUGAUAUCGGAAGGAACGCCGGUGGCGAAAGCGACGUGCUGGACCUCUUCUGACGCUGAGGCGCGAAAGCUAGGGGAGCGAACGG
This 252-nucleotide ribosomal RNA is filed under the name uncultured bacterium. Its description in RNAcentral is "partial 16S ribosomal RNA". It matches the Rfam family "Bacterial small subunit ribosomal RNA", at positions 524 to 775 of the family's 1533-position model. The record is from RNAcentral.